GUGCACCAGGCGAGAAACUCCACAAUGCGCGAAAGCGCGAUGGGGCUAUCCCGAGUGCCGUCCGCUGAGGAUGGCUUUCUCCAGUGUAAGGAGCUGGAGGAAUAAGGAGAGGGCAAGUCUGGUGUCAGCCGCCGCGGUAAUACCAGCUCUCCGAGUGGUAGGGACGUUUAUUGGGCUUAAAGCGUCCGUAGCCGGCUCAACAAGUCCUCCGUUAAAUCCAGCGAUUCAAUCGUUGGACUGCGGGGGAUACUGUUGGGCUAGGGGACGGGAGAGGCCAACGGUAUUCCCGGAGUAGGGGUGAAAUCCUAUAAUUCCGGGAGGACCACCAGUGGCGAAGGCUGUCGGCUAGAACGAGCUCGACGGUGAGGGACGAAAGCUGGGGGAGCGAACCGGAUUAGAUACCCGGGUAGU
Molecule: ribosomal RNA, 411 nt
Filed under: uncultured microorganism
Description: bacterial SSU rRNA
Rfam family: Archaeal small subunit ribosomal RNA
Source: RNAcentral